Molecule: ribosomal RNA, 253 nt
Filed under: uncultured bacterium
Lineage: Bacteria
Description: partial 16S ribosomal RNA
Rfam family: Bacterial small subunit ribosomal RNA
Source: RNAcentral
GACAGAGGGGGCAAGCGUUGCUCGGAAUUACUGGGCGUAAAGGGCGCGUAGGCGGGAUGGCAAGUCGGUCGUGAAAUCCCUCGGCUCAACCGAGGAAGUGCAUCCGAAACUGGCGAGCUAGAGUACUAAAGAGGAUCGCGGAAUUCCCGGUGUAGAGGUGAAAUUCGUAGAUAUCGGGAGGAACACCGGUGGCGAAGGCGGCGAUCUGGGUAGAUACUGACGCUGAGGUGCGAAAGCGUGGGGAGCAAACAGG